CACCUCAGGAGGGGACACCAUAGAGUUCACACCCCCACGCGGUGCAGACAAGCCCGCCGCCGGGCCCGGCCUCUCUGCCCUCGCUCCUCACUUCCGGCGGCGCCGCUUCACCCCGCGCAUGCGCCGUGCGCCUCUCUCUCUCCGCGGCGGCGCCGGGCAGGAAGAUGGCUAAGCGCACCAAGAAGGUGGGGAUUGUGGGUAAAUACGGUACCCGGUACGGGGCGUCCCUGAGGAAGAUGGUGAAGAAGAUUGAAAUUAGCCAGCACGCCAAGUAUACCUGCUCCUUCUGUGGCAAGACCAAAAUGAAGAGGAAGGCUGUUGGUAUCUGGCACUGUGGAUCCUGCAUGAAGACAGUUGCUGGUGGUGCCUGGACUUACAACACCACCUCUGCAGUGACAGUCAAAUCGGCAAUCAGAAGGCUGAAAGAACUGAAGGACCAGUAGAUGCUACAUCCUGCUCUCCUUCUGAAACGUGCUUGUUUUCUCCGCUGUCAAGAUCUGUCCCUUUAAUAAUAAAAAGUUCAGUGCUGUAGCUUCCCUGACUAAAGGAGAAUCAUGCAUUUCCAUACCCAGUGCUGCAAUGGAGGUGACAAUGGGUGACUCCCCCUCAGAGCAAAUGGCUUCUUUGUGUACAUGUGAGAUGAACGCCGUUGUAAUCCUGCUACAAGAUACACGAGAAGAAUGGCAAAGGAACCCUGCGGGUUUAAGAAAGCUCAGGUGAACUCGCUGCUGCUGCUGCUUUUCUGCGCAACGUGUCUGCAGCAGCUUUCUCUGGGUCAGUUGAGUCAGACUGAUUGCCCUGGGUGCUGCUGCUGCUGGUCCUGGUCUGUGCUAACCAGCUCCUAGGGAUGCCGCCUCCAAGCUCGAAUUUUCUUUUCAUGUGAGCUGUCUCCGUUCCCAUGGGGGUGGCUUGCACGCUGCCGUGCCUCGUAGCAUUGGGGGAGAGCAAGCGAGGGCAACGUGGUUUAACUUGCAUCAAAAUAAAGACGCUUUCCGUUUUGCUUAA
RNA transcript from Cygnus atratus (black swan), 1005 nucleotides. It is a transcript of the gene named ribosomal protein L37a, with no coding region annotated. The transcript is spliced from 5 exons. NCBI's taxonomy places the organism in Eukaryota, Metazoa, Chordata, Aves, Anseriformes, Anatidae. The record is from RefSeq and is a predicted model, not a curated record.